Molecule: ribosomal RNA, 292 nt
Filed under: uncultured bacterium
Lineage: Bacteria
Description: partial 16S ribosomal RNA
Rfam family: Bacterial small subunit ribosomal RNA
Source: RNAcentral
GUGUCAGCAGCCGCGGUAAUACGUAGGUGGCAAGCGUUGUCCGGAUUUAUUGGGUUUAAAGGGUGCGUAGGCGGUCUAUUAAGUCAGUGCUGAAAUAUCCCGGCUUAACCGGGAGGGUGGCAUUGAUACUGAUGGACUUGAGUGCAGUCGAGGUAGGCGGAAUUGACGGUGUAGCGGUGAAAUGCUUAGAUAUCGUCAAGAACACCGAUAGUGAAGACAGCUUACUAGACUGUAACUGACGCUGAGGCACGAAAGUGUGGGGAUCAAACAGGAUUAGAUACCCCCGUAGUCC